Molecule: non-coding RNA, 259 nt
Organism: Caenorhabditis elegans
Lineage: Eukaryota; Metazoa; Nematoda; Chromadorea; Rhabditida; Rhabditidae
Gene: ZK593.11
Product: ncRNA
Source: Ensembl
AACACCUUUCCGUGUUCCAAGAGCUCCUCCAUUUUCAAUUGUACAUAUAACUGCUGUUUCUUCACAACUUUCGACGAUUAAAGAAAUCAAUCCGUCAUCAAUAUAGAUUCUUGAACCAGGUCCUUUGGUGUCAAGAGCAAUUGCGACCGGGAAUGGAGCAUUUUCAGCAGCUUCACGGAUUGUCUUGAUUGUUGCAGCAUGUGCCUGAAAUUAUUUGUUUCUUUUUCUGUGCCUGAUACAUUAUUUUUUACAAAUAAUG